CUGGCUCAGGAUGAACGCUAGCUACAGGCUUAACACAUGCAAGUCGAGGGGCAGCAUGAUCAAAGCUUGCUUGGUUGAUGGCGACCGGCGCACGGGUGAGUAACGCGUAUCCAACCUUCCCCUUAGUAGGGCAUAGCCCGUAGAAAUGCGGAUUAAUACCUAUGUUGUUCGUAGAGGACAUCUGAAAUGAACCAAAGGUUUACCGCUAAGGGAUGGGGAUGCGUCUGAUUAGGUAGUCGGCGGGGUAACGGCCCACCGAGCCCUCGAUCAGUAGGGGUUCUGAGAGGAAGGUCCCCCACAUUGGAACUGAGACACGGUCCAAACUCCUACGGGAGGCAGCAGUGAGGAAUAUUGGUCAAUGGGCGCGAGCCUGAACCAGCCAAGUAGCGUGCAGGAUGACGGCCCUAUGGGUUGUAAACUGCUUUUAUACAGGGAUAAAGUUGGGAACGUGUUCCCUUUUGCAGGUACUGUAUGAAUAAGGACCGGCUAAUUCCGUGCCAGCAGCAGC
Molecule: ribosomal RNA, 508 nt
Filed under: uncultured bacterium
Lineage: Bacteria
Description: bacterial SSU rRNA
Rfam family: Bacterial small subunit ribosomal RNA
Source: RNAcentral